RNAcentral lists this ribosomal RNA (433 nucleotides) under uncultured bacterium. Its description in RNAcentral is "partial 16S ribosomal RNA". It matches the Rfam family "Bacterial small subunit ribosomal RNA", at positions 29 to 507 of the family's 1533-position model. The record is from RNAcentral.
AACGAACGCUGGCGGCAGGCUUAACACAUGCAAGUCGAGCGAGACCUUCGGGUCUAGCGGCGGACGGGUGAGUAACGCGUGGGAACGUGCCCUUCUCUACGGAAUAGCCCCGGGAAACUGGGAGUAAUACCGUAUACGCCCUUUGGGGGAAAGAUUUAUCGGAGAAGGAUCGGCCCGCGUUGGAUUAGGUAGUUGGUGGGGUAAUGGCCCACCAAGCCGACGAUCCAUAGCUGGUUUGAGAGGAUGAUCAGCCACACUGGGACUGAGACACGGCCCAGACUCCUACGGGAGGCAGCAGUGGGGAAUCUUAGACAAUGGGGGCAACCCUGAUCUAGCCAUGCCGCGUGAGUGAUGAAGGCCUUAGGGUUGUAAAGCUCUUUCAGCUGGGAAGAUAAUGACGGUACCAGCAGGAGAAGCCCCGGCUAACUCCGUG